CCAAAUCACACAUCCACUAGACAAUCAAACACACAAGAUCACAAGGUACAUGAACAACAAAGGGAAAGAUACAAGGUAAGGUUCAUCUCCAAGAGGAGGUCUUGAUGAUAUCCUAGAUGGAUCUUCCCACAAGGGGGUCUUGAUGAUAUCCCGCAAGAUCUUCUCACAUGGAGGUCUUGAACUCCAUUGGAGUGGUAGUCUCUCUUUCUCAAGAGUAGAGAUAGGAGCAAAGCUCACCUAAGAAUGAGCUAUCAUAUUUGCUAACCCUAACUAGAGGAAGGGGAUGGAGUAUAUAUAGGCUAGUCCACGAAGGGGUAAGUGAGUAGGGGAUACAUGGGCCUUUGGCCCGAUUCUGCGCACAGGCAGGCGCCGGAUGUCCAGGCUGGGGCCCAGAUGUCCGGGCGUUCGCGGGAGGCCGGAUGUCCGGGGCAUGGGCCAGAUGUUCGGGCUGGUGAGGUUGGCCUCGGUGCUCUCUGGAUAGGGGCGUCGGAUUUCCGGGCUUGUGGCCCGAUGUCCUGGCUGUCGGGAGGCACUGGAUGUCCGGGCUUGCGGGCCGGAUGUCCGGGGCCUAUAGGUACUUGGCGGCUGGGCGGCUGCUGUGGGUGAAGCUCCAGGGGCCGGAUGUCCGGGGUCCUGGCCGGAUGUCCGGGUCCUGGGGGUUGUCUCCAUCUUCUUUCGUCGUCGCUUCCAGGCUUCCCUCGCGGAUGGUGUAGUUGUUCCUUGGCGCUUGCACUCCUCCUCAACAUCCGUGAAGCUCCGACAAUACCUAUGCAUGCACACGGGAGAAGUGUCAAGUAGUAUACCAUCCUCGAAGGGGUCAAGUGAGCACGUAUAAAGGAGAAGAACCACCUUUGAGUAUGUGAAGUAGAGGUCGCACGUGUCACUUUCCAAAUGGACUCUUGACAUGGUGAUGACCGUAGGAUGCUCCGCAUCAUCCCCUCCCCCUUGGAAAAGAUCCGACUUCGGAUCGAAAACCAAAUCACCAUGGGAAAGAGAUGGUGGUGCCGUGUCGAAGUGGUCGGUCACCAAGCACUCAUCAUCUUGAAACUCGAAAUGGGCACUCUUCAAUGUCGCACCGUCUAGUGAUUCAUUCAAAACAAGCAAGAACAACAAACACUUGGAAAAACAAAUGUGGUUAGCCUUAGCGCAAAACCAAGCAUUCAAGAGGUGAUUCACCAAACAAGUGUCGUCAUCAAGCAUAGCAUCGGGUGUGACAAAGGAUUGUGACAUGGCAUGUAAGCAUAUCAAUUGAGCACAAGCAAAGAUAUCAUGGGGACAAGUAUGCAAAUGUGAGGUAGUGAUGCAAAUAUGUGUGAGAAGAGAAUAAGCAUCUACCUCAAGGUCAUUGCAAACAAGCAUCAAGCACUCAAUGAAAGGUCUAUGGUAGGCAUAAGAAUCAUUCACAACACCAAAUAAAAUGAAGUGUCUAAACACAUGGGACAAGUUCAAGACAAUCCAAGCAUAAUGUGCAUAGGGUGUAGCGAAUACAGUGUGGCACUCAACACAAUAGAAAGAGCAAUUGUUCGUCAUGUGUGAGGCAAUCAAGUCAAUCAUGUGACAAGCAAAGGGACAUGGCAUAUGUGAAGAAAUGAUAUUGGUGCAACCAACCAUAUGAUAGUAGCAACACAAGGUAUAUAUGUCAUGAAGCAUGGAAAUGUGGCAAUCAUAGGUGAAAGAAAUAUCUCGAACAUGCGUGCAAAUGGUGCAAGCAACACAUGAAGUAUGAUCCACAAUAUCCAAGCUCAAGAAGGAUGUCACCUUGAAAGCAUUUCCUUGUGCAUUCUUCACAUUGCCGGAGUGGUAGGAAGUAUGGUGUAGAAGCGAGUUGUGGAAGAAUCUAUGAGGCUCGCUCUCGAGAGCUCGAAUGGUCAACUCACGUGAAGUGGAAGUCGAAAUAAAUUCCAAGUAUCCUACACAUGCACACAACAAAACAAAGAACAUAUGCACAUGGUAGAUAAACACAUCAUCCAUCAUGAUGCUUCUCAUCUUUUGCACAAAACCAUUAGUAACAAAAGUGCAUGAAUAAUAUGAUGCAACAAUGGCGAUAUUCAUGGCACUAGGUAUAUGGUGCAAAGAAGUAAGGCAAGCAUGCUUCACAAGGAAUAUGUCAAAAUCUCCAAACAAGUGUGAGAAUGCUAUGGGGGCCAUCUCAUGAGCAAGACGACAAUCAUGGUUGCACUCAAUACAUGGAAAAUGAUCUAGCAUGAGAGAGGCAACAUAUGGAGAUAUGUGACAAGAAGCAAUAACAAUCAUGUGCAAAGCAUUUAGAUGGUUGUCAUCAACCGCAUGAAAUGAGCAAGUAUGAAUCAUUGGUGAUGCAAGACAAGCAAGCAUAUCAAUCAUGUCGUGCAAACUAGUGGAGCGAAGAUGCAACACACUAGGGGAAAUCAUGGCAAUCAUGUCAUGUGAGCAAUUAAUAGGCAUAGACAAUGCACAUGACAUAUCGCAAGCACGAACACAAAGCAAGAUGAAAGUAUCAUCAUAGGAAUGGUGCACAAAAGGAACAUGGCAAUAACAAGCAAUAUCUCCACCAAGCUUGCAAAUACACAUACAAGUACUAGAAUCAAUCAUCAUUUGUAAUGCAAAGCAUGGGUCACAAAUGCACGUCAAAGGCAUAGGAAUGAGCAUAUCAUGCAAAGUGAACAUGGCAAGAUGGGCAUAUGAUAUGUAAUGAAUAAUAACCCAUAGCCAAGUGAGUGCCAUGUAGAAGGGCUGUGGGAAAGAUAAUCCAUGGGAUCCCAAAUCAUCGUUGCUCUCUAGAGCUCGUUUUGUCAACUCAUGGGAUUGCGAGGUUGACAAGUAUUCAUGGGUACCUACACAAAAGAGACACAAACCAAAGAAAUUGUGCGCGUGGUAAAUGUACACAUCAUCCAUCAUGAUGUGUAUGUGCACAUGCGAGUUAGCACAAGAUAAGCAUCGCUCACAGAAAUUUGAUGCAUGGUAUAUGAACAUGUCAUCCAUCAUGAAAGAAUAGUUAUUAUGUAUGACACGAUGGGGAUACAAAUUGAGAAUGCAAGUAUAUGACACAUCAAUAUCAUGUUUAAUCAUGGGGAGCAUAUGGUGCACACAAGUAUUGGGAUCAUGCAAUGAAUGGGGUGGAUCAAAAUCUCCUAAAAUGCAUGAGGAAACUAUGGGGGUCUCCUCAUGAGUAAUAUCACAUGGAUAAAAUGGACAACAUCCAAAACAAUGCAUAUCCGAAGCUAGGUGGGCAUGGCAUGGCAUAUGAGAUAAAUUAUGCAAAGGGAGCAUAUCAAUAUCAUCACAAGAAAAACAAAUGCCAAUAACCAUGGGCUUGUCAUCUAUGCCAUAUGUGCAAAUUGGGUUUAUUUUAAGGGCAUAUGCAUAGUCACUAUGAAGAGAUUGCAAAUAAGACAUAUGAUUGAUCUCAUGCAUAGCAUAUGACAAGUCAAGCGGAUUAGCAAACAUGAUGUGACCUAAAGAAUUGUCACAAGAAAUCCUAUGUAACAUGGCAUCACUACUAAUAGACUCCACAUGAGAAUCAUCAUACUCAUCAUAAAUGGGCACAUCAUCAUUUGGGGAAAUCAUACUAGCAUGAAGCAUGGUACUAGGUGGAUCAACAUCAUGCAAGCAAUCAAUGUCAAGAAUGUCCACUAGUGGGACUAGAUCAUCACCUUCACCUAUGUUACCUUGUUCAUUCCACUCAAGUGGUGUACGUGAGGUGGGAAAGACCAAAUGGUGGUCAUCUUCAUCUUGAUGGAACCAUGUGGGGGGUGCAUCAUAUUCCACCAUGGCCAUCGUCUUGUCCAAAGGGAGGAAGGAGUCGUCGAGGAUCGGCGCGUCAUCAUAAACGGGACCUAGCACCAAAUGAGAAGACACAAUAGAGGUAGAGGUCAAGUUGUUAGAAAUGCAAAUGGCCUCACGAGACCUAUCAACUAUCUCACUCUCUCUAUGUGGUGUUUCACUCAUUCCCUCAAAGUAGGUGCACUCAAAGUCACAUAUGGUGGAGUCACUCAUCUCACACAAGUGGUGGGGGUUAUCGCUCUCCUCACAUGGAAAGUGGGGCAACUCAUCAUAUAUGGGGCUAGUGGUGAAGUCACUCUCACUCUCAAUAUGGUGGCAAAAGUCACUCAAGUCAUCAUACAUCGCCGUGGUCGAAGGGAAGAUCCCAUGCUCAACCAUAUUGUCGUCGUCAUCGUGUAUGAAGGCCGAAGAUGGCACAUCAUCACUCUCCUUCAUGAUCGAAGGGAAAAUCCCAUGCUCGAUCAUCUCGUCACCGUCGCCGUUGAUGAAGGCCGAAGAUGGCACAUCAUCACUCUCGCCUCCAAAGAUGGAAGCAUCAUCCUUGCUCGCCACCUUGUUGCUCGCCUCCAAAGCUUGGUCCUUGAGGGUCUCCAUAGUCGUACUCAUCGCCGCACCGUCUUGAAAAAGAGUCGAAGUAGACUCAGCACCAUCAAUGCCACAAAGAGGGGUGGCGGUGAAGUCGAACUUGGGAGCAUCGUCUUGGAGCUCAUCGGGCUUGGACAUCGUGGUGGUACUAGCCUCAUGCUUGUCGUAGAGCUUGGUCGCCGCAAAGUGUGCUUGGGUUGGAGAAGCCUUGGCCUUCAUGAGUUCUUGUUCCGCCUUGAGAGCACCAAUGUAGUAGUCGUCAAUGGACUUGUAGUUCUCGAGGAAGAUGGUCUUGGAGAUGUCGUUGUGCAAUCCCAUCAUGAAGUGGAACUUCAUCGAAAUGGGGUCGUCCACGCCGGCUCGUCGCAAGGCAAUCUUCAUCUCCUUGAAGUACGCGUCGAUGGACUUGGAUCCUUGGAUGGUGUUCUCCAAUUGGCGUUGAAGUUGUUCCAUGUAGGUUGGAGGCACGAACUCUCGCCGCAAAGCUCUCUUCGUCUUGGGCCAACUCAUGUCAUAGUACUCCGAAGGUGUGUGAAGCCACCAUCAGCUCCCUUACAUAAUAAUAUUUCACUGUAUCAGCUACGAGGGGAAAAUCUGAAAGACAGAGGAUAGAGAGUGAGAGAAAGAGUGUGAGACUUGCGCCGCUCUCCAUUUCGAGGGGAUUUCGAUGAUUCUGGGGUGAUUGAACUAUUUCUUUACCUGUUCAAUUUCUAACGAAUCAAGAUAUCCUCUUGUUCCGGUAUAAAUAGUAGCUAUCUGCUCUUCCACUGGGAGAGGAUUUGCCUGGGAUUGUUUAAGCAAUUCCCUUAAUCGUCGACCCCUUGCCAAUUGAUUCUGACUUGUUUUAUCGAGAGCAGAGGCGAAUAAUAGGCUUGUCACUCUACGAAUUGAGCUAGUUCCAAUUUGGAUUUGCCAGCUACUUGUUUCAUGGCUUUAAUUUGAGCCGCAGAUCCUACUCUGGAAACUGAAAUACCCACAUUAAUAGCGGGUCGAAUUCCGGCAUGGAAUAGAUCCGCAGAUAAGAAUAUUUGUCCAUCUGUAAUGGAGAUUACAUUAGUAGGAAUAUAGGCGGAAACGUCUCCAGAUUGAGUCUCAACUAUUGGUAAAGCGGUCAUACUUCCUUCGCCUAAAAGAGAAUUUAAUUUCGCGGAUCUUUCUAAAAGGCGUGAAUGCAAAUAAAAAACAUCCCCUAGAUAAGCCUCACGGCCGGGACUUAAUAGAAGGGACAUUUGGCGAUAAGCUUGUGCCUGUUUGGAGAGAUCAUCAUAAAUUAUUAAAGUAUGCCGUUCGCGGUACAUAAAAGUCGUGGAGGUUUCUUGUGGCGCACUUCACUUGAUCUUCGGGACGAACUUGAUGUAGCUUGAGGUAGUCAUCCAUCAAACGCUCCCACUCGAGAUACUCCUCGGGUUCUUGAGUCCCAUAGAAAGGAAUCUCAUUGUCGGUGUUGAGGUCGUAGUAGCUCGUGGAAGUCGCGGACUUGAGCUUGGGGAGCUUCUCUUGAGCGUAGUCCUGGGGUGCUUGUUGGCGAAGAUGCCGUAUGUCCGUAAGCGAAGAUGCCUUGAAGUCGCUUGGCGAAGAUGCCAAGGGAGAUGGUGAAGUCGUUGAGCGGUUGUUGGUGUGGAGCUCUUGACCUUCACGUUCUUGUUGGUGAUGGUGUCGAUGCCGAUGUGAUCUUGCCGGAGAUGGUACCUCGGAAGCAUGUGCUCUUGAGCGUCUUCUUGAAGAUGAGGAAGAUCGCUUCUAGGACUUGAUGAGGGCUUUGAUCUCCUCCAUUUGAGCUUGCAUCUUGGCGUCGGAGUUGUUUUCCGUGGCAUCGAACUCGUCAUUGUUGUUGUAGACCGAAGGUGAAAUGCCUUGCCUAUCCAUCACAAGACUUGAGUAGAGGUGAGUAGGAAAUGAGAUAAACAAUACCAAGUUACCUUCUCCCAAAGUUGAGGAUGUAUCCCGUUUCACUCAAUGUGAAAUGAAAGAAUAGUGGAAUUGGUACCGGACUUGUUCACUCACACCUAUCAAGUAAAGCUUAUGGUAGAGCUCGGUGAGGAUAGUGGCACAAAAAUUUGAUGCAAAAUGUUAGCAAGAGUCAAUAAUGUUGAAAGAGAUUCACAAUUUCGCAAGAGAAACAAGUAGACCAAUAGCACUAUGUGGCACACGAAAACACACACACGGAUAGAUAAAUGGGAUCGUGCAACCAAGGAAUGAGCACAAAAUGUGGAAUCCACGGAAAACGCUCGUGUUGCACAACUCAAGAGAGACGCUAGCACGAUUGGUCAAUAGGCGGAUACGACACUUUGUGCACAACCUAUAAGAUGCAAAAUGGAUAAACUUUCUAUCCCAAGUAUGCUAUAUAUGUAUGGUUCCCGGUAUUUCUCACACAAUGAUCCAAGAUGAUCAAGUAUGAUACCAUAUGAUAUAUUUUGAUGCUAUGGCUAUUUCUUACAAGCUCUUUGCUCUCUUUCUUUUUCUUUGCUUAAAAGCUUAUUCUCUUUUUUUUGAUAUGGCCACUAUGCGAAAUGCACAAACCAAGAUAGCAAUUGUGUAUAUGCGGGAACAAACUUGUGAGACAAGAUAUGAUAUCAAUAUGAUAUGGUAUGUAUGCAAAGGAUGUUGUAGAUCACUAAUGUGCACAAGUAACGUGGCCCGACAAUAUUCAAAUUGCUAGUCUCGAUAGGCAAGUAACGCAAAAUGGGCUAAGGGGUUAUCAAUGCAAUUGCAAGGGGAAUAUACAAUGGUGUCAUUGAGGUUACCAUCCUUGGCGAUGAUGAGUGGCGGUGUUCUUGAUGUCGAGCCGUUCCUAGUUAGCCGAAACACCCUAGGAAACGGAAAAACCACAAACUCAAAAUCUCAAAGGCAAAUGUCAAAUUGUGGUAGCGGAAAGCGGUGGUGGUUUGCACUUGGCAAUGCGGAAGUGGAGUGAUGGCUAUACACGUGUCGGAGUUGAAGUUGCCGUCCCUAAGUAGCCAAAACACCUUAGGAGACACAACUCAUAACACAAACAAAAUGGGUUAAGUUGUGGUGGCGGAAGUGUAUGGUGGGCACGUCUAUGUGGAAAUGGUGGUGGUGGUUGAUGAAGAAGCAAACGUCCCUAAGUAGCCAAAACACCUUAGGAGACUCGAAUCACUACUCAAACAACCUCAAAUGCAAUGGAGAACAAAAAGGGUUAGGUUGCGGAAGUCGGUGGUGGCUAUGCGGAUAAUAUGGUGGAUGGCCUAGGAAAACUUGCCAAAUUUUCAAAUAUUUGAUGGAGUCAAAUGAUGUUGGUGAUAUUUUUGUGGGAUGGGGGACGUCAAUAUCUUCAAAACGAGCUAAAGAACGUCAAAAUCGGACUCCGGAUGAAUUAUUUGUGGUCAAAACGGUGGAAAAAAAAACUGAAAUGACAGGGGCCGGAUAUCCGGGGGUAGGGGCCGGAUUUCCGGGGGUGUAUGUCCAGAACCGUGCAGAUUUGGUGCUCCAGGGCCAGGAUGUCCGGCUUGGGGCCCGGAUGUCCGGCCGGAUGGCCCGGAUGUCCGGCCGGAUGGCCCGGAUGUCCGGCCGGAUGGCCCAGAUGUCCGGCCUGAGGCCCGGAUGUCCGGCCCGACGAUUCCAGAUCUCGUUUGGGUUUUCGAAUUGGGGGCGGAAAUUGAUGAUUUCGGGGGCAAAAUUGCGGAGAUUUCGUGGAUGGAAGAUGGGGAAACUUGGGGAAAUGCUAGAUCCACUUGAAACCAAGCAAAUCCAUGGAUCAAAAUCAACAAAACAUCAUCAAACCAACAAAUCACAAAAAAAAUUGGGGCUAUUUUUGGUGGGGAUUUUCGAAUUUAGGACGAAAUUAAGUAAAAGAAGGCUAGAAAACGAUGGGAGGGACUCCAAAUCUGUGAUAAACCUAAGCUCUGAUUCCAUAUGAUAUGGGGCUAACCUGGUGUAGGCCGAUCUUUCACGAUUGGAGUGGGAUCCCUCGAAGAACACGAUGAACACGGGGAAGAACGGGGAGAAAUCACAAGGGGAAACACUCAAGAACAAGUCCAAAUCACACAUCCACUAGACAAUCAAACACACAAGAUCACAAGGUACAUGAACAACAAAGGGAAAGAUACAAGGUAAGGUUCAUCUCCAAGAGGAGGUCUUGAUGAUAUCCUAGAUGGAUCUUCCCACAAGGGGGUCUUGAUGAUAUCCCGCAGGAUCUUCUCACAUGGAGGUCUUGAACUCCAUGGGAGUGGUAGUCUCUCUCUCUCUCAAGAGUAGAGGUAGGAGCAAAGCUCACCUAAGAAUGAGCUAUCAUAUUUGCUAACCCUAACUAGAG
Molecule: long non-coding RNA, 8620 nt
Filed under: Triticum aestivum (bread wheat)
Lineage: Eukaryota; Viridiplantae; Streptophyta; Magnoliopsida; Poales; Poaceae
Description: long non-coding RNA (TAES_LNC027291)
Source: RNAcentral